This 699-nucleotide ribosomal RNA is filed under the name Leuconostoc lactis. RNAcentral describes it as "bacterial SSU rRNA". It matches the Rfam family "Bacterial small subunit ribosomal RNA", at positions 49 to 730 of the family's 1533-position model. Lineage: Bacteria; Bacillati; Bacillota; Bacilli; Lactobacillales; Lactobacillaceae. The record is from RNAcentral.
UAAUACAUGCAAGUCGAACGCGCAGCGAAAGGUGCUUGCACCUUUCAAGCGAGUGGCGAACGGGUGAGUAACACGUGGAUAACCUGCCUCAAGGCUGGGGAUAACAUUUGGAAACAGAUGCUAAUACCGAAUAAAACUUAGUAUCGCAUGAUACAAAGUUGAAAGGCGCUACGGCGUCACCUAGAGAUGGGUCCGCGGUGCAUUAGUUAGUUGGUGGGGUAAAGGCCUACCAAGACAAUGAUGCAUAGCCGAGUUGAGAGACUGAUCGGCCACAUUGGGACUGAGACACGGCCCAAACUCCUACGGGAGGCUGCAGUAGGGAAUCUUCCACAAUGGGCGAAAGCCUGAUGGAGCAACGCCGCGUGUGUGAUGAAGGCUUUAGGGUCGUAAAGCACUGUUGUAUGGGAAGAAAUGCUAGAAUAGGGAAUGAUUCUAGUUCGACGGUACCAUACCAGAAAGGGACGGCUAAAUACGUGCCAGCAGCCGCGGUAAUACGUAUGUCCCGAGCGUUAUCCGGAUUUAUUGGGCGUAAAGCGAGCGCAGACGGUUGAUUAAGUCUGAUGUGAAAGCCCGGAGCUCAACUCCGGAAUGGCAUUGGAAACUGGUUAACUUGAGUGUUGUAGAGGUAAGUGGAACUCCAUGUGUAGCGGUGGAAUGCGUAGAUAUAUGGAAGAACACCAGUGGCGAAGGCGGCUUACU